CCCAGGACACAACUGCCUUUCUGGGCUGUGACUGCACAUUGUUGGGUCAUGUCCAUCUUCUCCAUCCUAAGUCCUUCUCAGCAGGGCUGCUCUCAUCCUGAAGCCUGUGUUGAUAUUGAGGAUUGUUCUGACUUAGUCCCUGUGGGUAAGGAAAAACUCCUGCUGCAGUCAUGACUGAAGCAGAUCUCUGACUUGGGACAACAUGUUGGCAACUGGGAUUUUUAAUUCAGUCCUUGUCCAGGCAAAUUUUUUUGGCUACCUUGAAUAAAAAAAGAGCUGUCAUACAGUUUUCCUGAUCUGGAAUCAACAAAUCAACAAGUUCCACUCUUAGAAAAAAUGCAUCCAGUGAUUGUUGAAGAAAUAUUUACUGUGUUCUUGAAAUGUACCAAGCCCUUCAACUAUGUGCAGCCAGGA
This is a long non-coding RNA of Passer domesticus (house sparrow), 414 nucleotides long. RefSeq lists it as uncharacterized. NCBI's taxonomy places the organism in Eukaryota, Metazoa, Chordata, Aves, Passeriformes, Passeridae. The record is from RefSeq and is a predicted model, not a curated record. The transcript is spliced from 4 exons.